AGAGUUUGAUCCUGGCUCAGGACGAACGCUGGCGGCGUGCUUAACACAUGCAAGUCGAACGAUGAAGCCCUUCGGGGUGGAUUAGUGGCGAACGGGUGAGUAACACGUGGGCAAUCUGCCCUUCACUCUGGGACAAGCCCUGGAAACGGGGUCUAAUACCGGAUAACACCGGCUUCCGCAUGGAAGCUGGUUGAAAGCUCCGGCGGUGAAGGAUGAGCCCGCGGCCUAUCAGCUUGUUGGUGGGGUAAUGGCCUACCAAGGCGACGACGGGUAGCCGGCCUGAGAGGGCGACCGGCCACACUGGGACUGAGACACGGCCCAGACUCCUACGGGAGGCAGCAGUGGGGAAUAUUGCACAAUGGGCGAAAGCCUGAUGCAGCGACGCCGCGUGAGGGAUGACGGCCUUCGGGUUGUAAACCUCUUUCAGCAGGGAAGAAGCGAAAGUGACGGUACCGCAGAAGAGCCCCGAUCCGCCCU
This 477-nucleotide ribosomal RNA is filed under the name Streptomyces sp. RHF63. RNAcentral's name for it is "bacterial SSU rRNA". It matches the Rfam family "Bacterial small subunit ribosomal RNA", at positions 8 to 504 of the family's 1533-position model. The record is from RNAcentral. Lineage: Bacteria; Bacillati; Actinomycetota; Actinomycetes; Kitasatosporales; Streptomycetaceae.